Molecule: transfer RNA, 72 nt
Filed under: Phrynosoma platyrhinos (Desert horned lizard)
Lineage: Eukaryota; Metazoa; Chordata; Lepidosauria; Squamata; Phrynosomatidae
Description: tRNA-OTHER
Source: RNAcentral
CUCAACAUGGUGUAGUGGUUUGAGCAUUGGACUAGGACUCUGGAGACCAGGGUUCAAAUCCCGGUUCAGCCA